UACAGAGGGUGCGAGCGUUAAUCGGAAUUACUGGGCGUAAAGCGCGCGUAGGCGGCUUUGCAAGUCGGGUGUGAAAUCCCCAGGCUUAACCUGGGAACUGCAUUCGAGACUGCAUCGCUCGAACGUCGGAGAGGUAAGUGGAAUUCCGAGUGUAGAGGUGAAAUUCGUAGAUAUUCGGAAGAACACCAGUGGCGAAGGCGACUUACUGGACGACUGUUGACGCUGAGGUGCGAAAGCGUGGGGAGCAAACAGG
This 253-nucleotide ribosomal RNA is filed under the name uncultured bacterium. RNAcentral's name for it is "partial 16S ribosomal RNA". It matches the Rfam family "Bacterial small subunit ribosomal RNA", at positions 524 to 776 of the family's 1533-position model. The record is from RNAcentral.